GGAAAAGGGAAUUUAGACAACUGUGACAAAUGAGAUUAUUUAAAACCAUUCCUAGAGCUUAAUGUUUUCUAGAGAGGCAAGUCUGAUUUUUCCAUGUUCGAAGUAGGAAAUAGUGCAUGACCAGUAUUGUGUUCUUCGAUUCACAGGACAAAACUUUAAAACUCAAGCAGACCUUCCAUGCAACAUCUGGCCCAACAGCUGUAUUUUGAAAAUGGAUGAAGUAAGAGCUACAGAAGUGGAAUCACUGAGUGAACUAAGGCAGAACCAAGGAAUGAAGAGUCCCUGCCUCCGGGGAAGAAAGAAGAGCAUCUUGUACCAUCCUUGA
This 325-nucleotide long non-coding RNA is filed under the name Fukomys damarensis (Damara mole-rat). RNAcentral's name for it is "lncRNA (ENSFDAG00000027421.1)". The record is from RNAcentral. Lineage: Eukaryota; Metazoa; Chordata; Mammalia; Rodentia; Bathyergidae.